This 487-nucleotide ribosomal RNA is filed under the name uncultured bacterium. RNAcentral's name for it is "partial 16S ribosomal RNA". It matches the Rfam family "Bacterial small subunit ribosomal RNA", at positions 29 to 507 of the family's 1533-position model. The record is from RNAcentral.
ACGAACGCUGGCGGCGUGCUUAACACAUGCAAGUCGAACGGAAAGGCCCUGCUUUUGUGGGGUGCUCGAGUGGCGAACGGGUGAGUAACACGUGAGUAACCUGCCCUUGACUUUGGGAUAACUUCAUGAAACUGGGGCUAAUACCGGCUAGGAGCUCCUGCUGCAUGGUGGGGGUUGGAAAGUUUCGGCGUUUGGGGAUGGACUCGCGGCUUAUCAGCUUGUUGGUGGGGGAGUGGCUUACCAAGGCUUUGACGGGUAGCCGGCCUGAGCGGGGGACCGGCCACACUGGAACGGAGACACGGUCGAGACUCCUAAGGGAGGCAGCAGUAGGGAAUGUGCCGCAAUGGGCGGAAGCGUGACGGAGCAACGCCGCGUGAGUGAUGACGGUCUUCGGAUCGUAAAACUCUGUUAUUAGGGAAGAACAAAUGUGUAAGUAACUAUGCACGUCUUGACGGUACCUAAUCAGAAAGCCACGGCUAACUACGUG